RNAcentral lists this ribosomal RNA (468 nucleotides) under uncultured bacterium. Its description in RNAcentral is "partial 16S ribosomal RNA". It matches the Rfam family "Bacterial small subunit ribosomal RNA", at positions 28 to 507 of the family's 1533-position model. The record is from RNAcentral.
GACGAACGCUGGCGGCGUGCUUAACACAUGCAAGUCGAACGGAAAGGCCCGGCGUUUGUGGGGUGCUCGAGUGGCGAACGGGUGAGUAACACGUGAGUAACCUGCCCUUGACUGUGGGAUAAAUUCAGGAAACUGGGGCUAAUACCGGAUAGGAGCUCCUGCUGCAUGGGGGGGGUUGGAAAGUUUCGGCGGUGGGGGAUGGACUCGCGGGUUAUCAGCUGGUUGGGUGGGUAGGGGCUUACAAAGGGUUUGACGGGUAGCCCGCCUGGGAGGGUGGACGGGCUCCAUAGUCCUGCGGGAGGCACCAGACUCCUACGGGAGGCAGCGGUGGGGAAUCUUGCAGAGUGGGCGGGAGCCUGUUGCGACGGCCCCGCGUGCGGAAUGACCGGUUUCGGGUUGUAAACCGCUUUCGCCUGUGCCGAAGCGUGAGUGACGGUAAUGGGUAAAGAAGCACCGGCUAACUACGUG